AUACGAAGGGGGCUAGCGUUGUUCGGAAUUACUGGGCGUAAAGCGCGCGUAGGCGGACUGAUCAGGUAGGGGUGAAAUCCCAGGGCUUAACCCUGGAACUGCCUCUAAUACUGUCAGUCUUGAGUUCGGGAGAGGUGAGUGGAAUUCCUAGUGUAGAGGUGAAAUUCGUAGAUAUUAGGAAGAACACCAGUGGCGAAGGCGGCUCACUGGCCCGAUACUGACGCUGAGGCGCGAAAGCGUGGGGAGCAAACAGGAUUAGAAACCCGAGUAGUCC
This 274-nucleotide ribosomal RNA is filed under the name uncultured bacterium. RNAcentral's name for it is "partial 16S ribosomal RNA". It matches the Rfam family "Bacterial small subunit ribosomal RNA", at positions 523 to 796 of the family's 1533-position model. The record is from RNAcentral.